UGCACGCCAGUGCGAUAAGGGGACUCCAAGUGCGAGGGCAUAUCGUCCUCGCUAUCCUGUACUGUAGGGUAGUACAGUAUCAAGAGCUGGGCAAGACCGGUGCCAGCCGCCGCGGUAAUACCGGCAGCUCGAGUGAUGGCCGAUCUUAUUGGGCCUAAAGCGUCCGUAGCUGGCCUCGCAAGUCCGUCGGGAAAUCCAUCAGCCCAACUGAUGGGCGUCCGGCGGAAACUACAAGGCUUGGGACCGGAAGGCUCGAGGGGUACGUCCGGGGUAGGAGUGAAAUCCCGUAAUCCCGAACGGACCACCGAUGGCGAAAGCACCUCGAGAAGACGGCUCCGACAGUGAGGGACGAAAGCUAGGGUCUCGAACCG
RNAcentral lists this ribosomal RNA (371 nucleotides) under uncultured haloarchaeon. RNAcentral describes it as "bacterial SSU rRNA". It matches the Rfam family "Archaeal small subunit ribosomal RNA", at positions 356 to 726 of the family's 1478-position model. The record is from RNAcentral. Lineage: Archaea; Methanobacteriati; Methanobacteriota; Halobacteria; Halobacteriales; Halobacteriaceae.